UGGGACCAGGCAAAUUAGUAUGGGCUCGAA
RNAcentral lists this non-coding RNA (30 nucleotides) under Rattus norvegicus (Norway rat). The record is from RNAcentral. Lineage: Eukaryota; Metazoa; Chordata; Mammalia; Rodentia; Muridae.